Molecule: long non-coding RNA, 89 nt
Organism: Chrysoperla carnea
Lineage: Eukaryota; Metazoa; Arthropoda; Insecta; Neuroptera; Chrysopidae
Exons: 3
Source: RefSeq, a predicted model, not a curated record
CUCAUUUAUCCGCCUUCCAAAAUACUCGAAAUAGGGAUAGGAACUGUUUUACACAGGUAAAGUAUAUGUACAAUUUUUUCAAAUGAUAU